Molecule: non-coding RNA, 680 nt
Organism: Peromyscus maniculatus bairdii (prairie deer mouse)
Lineage: Eukaryota; Metazoa; Chordata; Mammalia; Rodentia; Cricetidae
Source: RefSeq, a predicted model, not a curated record
AUUACCAUCCCCACAAAGGUUGGUCUCGGCAACAUGAAAACUUGCUAAUUCCUCACCGGUGCUUGUUUCAAGCAGCAGCCAUGGAAGCCAAGACUCCAGGGACGUGAGAUAUUUGAGAUGAGAAAGAAAAGAACCAGAGCAAGCUGGAAGAGGCUCAGAAUCCAGGCAGGAUGUUGUUACCGGAAGACAAGACUUCAGACCUCUCACUUCUCUGAAUGAAAUGGAGAGGGGUGAUAAUUAUGUUUAAGGAAAGAAGUCUACCUCUGACCACUGAAAUGGGACAUUCUUGAGUCACAGAGAACACGGGAGGGCGAGAUUUGUCCGUGGCUAAGGGCAGCUGGUGCUCUGUCGGCAGAACUGGGUUGAUGCCCAGCAGCCACAGUGUGGCUCAUCAACACCUACAACUCCGGUUCCAGGGGAUCUGACCCCUUCUGGCUUCAUGGGCAUUAGGCAAGCAUACAGUGCACAUACAUACAUACAUGCAGGCAAGCACUCACACACAUAAAAAACUAAGAGCCCAUCAUGUAGCUGCAAAGGGAGGUGAUAAACUAAUUUUUUGUAAGUGCUUCCUGUUGUGUGUCAGGGAUGCAGGCAAUCCAUAUAUAAGGAUUGCUAUAAUAAAUCCACAUAAUAAAAAUCUGCAUAGUAAAAAAAUAAACAACACCAAGAUAUUGACCUAA